GGGAGAACAGAGGCCCCAGGCCUUCCUUUUACAGGUCAAGAACAUGCCCCAGACUUUUGAGAGGAAUUUAGCCAGGCUGGCUGCUGUGGAUACAAGCGCCCUGCCCCAAACUACAGGUCUUUAGGUUUGCAGGGAAGUGCCCUGCUAGGAGGUGGGGUUAUUGAUAGACUCUUGGGUCCUGUAUUUUUUGUUUUGGGUUUUUUCAGUUGGUUGGUUUUGGUGUGUGUGUGUGUGUGGGUACAUGUAUGUGCACGGAUGUGUGUGGAGGUCAAAGGAAAAUCUCAGAUGCCAUUUUCAGGUAUCAUUUGCCUUUAGUUUAAUAAAAAAAAUCAUUAAAAUUUUUGUUUUAUGUGUAAAGGUGUUUUGUCGUCACAUUCUGCUGCCUGAGACGAGGCCAGAAGAGGGUGUCAAAUACCUCAGAACCAGAAUCACAAUUGUGAGCUGUCACAUGAGUGCUGGGAACCGAAUCCAGGUCCUUUGGAAUAGAAGCCAGUGUUCUUAACCACGGAGCAACUCUCCAGCCUCCUCCCCACUUUGUUCGCCUUAUUUAGACAAGGUCUCUCACCAAGUAGGCUAAACUCGCUACCAUUGAGCCUCAGAGAUCCAUCUAUCUCUGCCUCCCCGAUUCUGGGAUUACAAGUACAAACUACAUUUAAAAAGUGCUUCCUUGGGUAAGAAGACUUGUGUGACAGGUUCCAGGCCAGCACUUGGGCCAACAGACCAGCCCUGGGAACUACAGACCAGCACUGGUGUUUGUGCUCUCAGAAACAAGGGGCUCUGCUUCACUGACAAGGGAUGGCUGUAGCGAAGGCAACAGAGAUCUGCACUGUGGUUAAUAAUAGGGAAGUCUUUCCAGAGCAGGCUGAUAAGCUGAGCUCUUGUAACUAGGCAACCAGAUAUCAACUGGGCACCAGAACCCACUGGUUUGUUUUGUUGUUGUUGUUGUUUAUUAUUUUGGUUUUAUGUUUUGUUUUUUUUCUUGACUCCCAAAGGAGUGGUGGGUACAGGUGAGCUGGAGGGAUGCUGGGAGGUGCGGGGUGGGGAGUGGGGGAUGGUACCUUCUCUUUAGAGUUUUCCAGAACCCCCUAGUCUUAGAAUGACAACGCUCUGCACUCUGGGGUCAGAGGGGUAAGGGCCUUGUUUGCUUACUUAGCAAAGCUCUAUCAGCCUUUGGCAGUGUGGGCCCAGGGAUUACUGAUUAUCCAAGCCUGUGUCUUUGGUCCCUAGUGACCCUUCCCAGGCCACAGCUGCCAAAACGGCUUCCAAACCCUCCGACUGCUCCAAAGGUGCAGAGAACUGCGCUGUUUGCGUUUUCUAUGCCCUGUGCUCUGUGAGCGUGGCUGUGUGAUGGGCUCCAGGGCUCCGGGGCAAAGGCUUUGGUUCCUCGCUUUGUUCCCAGUCUGCUGGAGGACUCUGAGUGCCAGACUGCGUGACCUAUUGGUAUAUUAACAACGACAACGACAAAAGCCACCCAGACACCGUGACCGGCCGCGGCCACCUCCUGCUCCUGCUGCCACGCUGGAUCGCAACCCCUCCCACGAUCUCAUCUGUGUCUCCAGUACCAUGUGUGCCUGUUGCUGCCAUGUUUCCCACCAUGGUGAUACUGGACUAAACCUCUGAAACUGUUAGUCAGCCCCAACUAAAUGCUUUCUUUGGGACGGGUGGAGGACUGCAGAGGGGCUUCUUUGUACAAGUGAAGUGUGGGCCGGAGAUAUGCCUGGAUAACUCAGAACCUGAUGGCUGCUGACAGGAUCUAGAAAUCCACUGCCCAGAUGAGAGCAAGCAGGCUCCAGGUUACAUGGUUGGGAGGAGCAUGUCCUUCACCGGUCAUUUCCUCUCGCUCCCAUUGGUGGGAGGAAUACCCGAGACUGGCCCAUGUUGAGAGUGCACGAGGGUUUUGUACUUUGCUGGAGCUGGAGAAGAGUCAGACAUCUCUCUCUCUCUCCCUCUGAGGACCACGAACCCUUACAGAAGAGAGGGGUGGAAAGAAUGGAAGACCUGGAGGACAAAAGGUUGCAGGGUUGUAUGGGACCACCUUCGGAGCCAAACCACCGCCAUCUUCAGGAAGAGCUAUCUAUUGCUCCUGGGAGAACAGUCACCACCUCUAGAGGAAGAUCACGGAUGCUCCUUAAGCCGUCACACGUGGAAACCUCUACAUGAGCAGGAAGACAGAUGGACAGCUCCUAGUGCUCAUGAAGAUAAAGCAAUGGCAAAUUAUACAGCAAAUAUGGGAUUCAGAACAGGGUUAUCUCACUCGGGAGUAGCUGGCAUCAGAGAAAGCCGUUUGUACUUCACAGCAUGCCUUAUUCCAAGCCUGUGUUGUUGAGUAACAAGCAGAAGACUAAAGAAGAAGAAAGCCUUCAAAACCCAAGUCCCGCCGAGCCGAGAGGGGUGAAGGGAGCCACAGCACCCACUCUGCCAACAGAGGCCCUGUUCUCAGACAAGAUGGUCCUGAGAGAUAAGAUGCCAAAGCCCAGGCUUCAUCCUGGGCCUGCUGGCCCCAGGCAUCAGAAAUCCUUAAUGACUGCAGAAACAGUUGCCUGGUUCAGGAGGAAAUAUCUCUAAAGAGCGCCUCAGCAGGGGCCUAGGAAGGUGGACCACCCACUGCAGAGGAAGUAAGGAGAGACGAGGGGGAUAAGUUGGGGAAACUGAGACCCAGAAGGAAGCAGCAGCCGCAGCAUCCUGAUAGCAACCUGGCAGCCUACCUCCACUGAGACCCUAGUUGCUGUUCAUGUUGGCCUUGAUGGAGUUCUGGACAAGCAGCGCCAAGCUUCCCUCCUCUGGAGGGACCAGCACCUGGGAGGACCUGGCAGAAGACAGGAUGACACAGAGCCCAGACACAGCAGGAGCUCGGUGGACAAUACCACCAUGACCGCCAGGGGUGACCUGCCUGAGUGUUGAAAUAGGAGCGGCGGGGCUGCGUCCCGGCACCCGGCCGCCCGCAUGGCUAGGUUAUGCCCCGAAAUAAUUACACGGAAACUGUAUUCUUUCAAUUACUGCCUGGCCCGGCUAGUUCCAGUUUCUUAUUGGUUAGCUCUUACAUAUUGUUCUAACCCAUUUCUAAUAUUCUGUGUAGCCCACGAGCUGGCUUACCAGGGAGGAUCUUAACCUGUGUCUGUCUGGAGUGGGAGAACCAUGGCGACUCUCUGACUCAGCUUCUUUUUCCCAGCAUUCUCUUCUGUCUACUCCGCCUACCUAAUUUUCUAUCCUAUGAGGGCCGAGGAAGUUUCUUUAUUAUAAUUAACCAAUGUCCUUCCUCCAUCACCUGAGUCACACUAGCAGCCAGGCCUCCCUGGACCCUACCCUGUCUCCUGUGGUCAAGCAUCAGCCGUUUCCAAAACAGAGCUGGAAGAGGAGAAAAUGCACGGGAUGUUACACAGUCACAGGCAGGCGUGGUCGGAGGUGCUGUCUUCACAGCUGAACCACUGGUUCCGCAUGCUUUCCCCACAGUGGCUCUCUAGGAGACACAGUGACUGUUCCACAGGAAAAGACCAGUCCAGCCCCAGGACUCCAUCACCACCAAGAAGAGGACUUGUUGGUGCUGCCAGAACACAGUGUCUGAUGACAAGAAAAGGCUGCAGGACAGAGGACAGAGGCCCAAGCUGUGUCCAAGUCUGCCCUGUGUGGAGAGGAACACAGUCACGUCGGAUCAGAGCCAUUCUAUGAUUUCAUCCAGAUGCGAAUCCAUCUGUACAGACCUGUCUCCAGAUAAGACAGUCCGAGGUACGGGGGCGGGGGUGAGGCAUUCAAUGUGCCUUUUAGGGAGGAGGAGCGGAGCACAGGCUUGAGAAAAAGGUCAGCUGUCCACAUUGUCACAUAUGCCUUUGGAUGAUGGCACUGAUGCAGUUAGGGGAAAACUAUGCGGGAAACAAAAGCCCCUUCCGGCCCUUGUGGUACCAAGAGAUGGGGUCUAGGAGGCCUUCCAGGAAAGGGCGAGUUCUGUUUCCAAGGGAUGUCAUUAGGGGAGGGUCCUCUCCCAGAAGGCAUUCUGCUGAUCACGGUGUUCACACACACACACACACACACGCACGCACGCACGCACGCACACACGCACGCACGCACACACAUAUGCAUGCACGCACGCACACAUGCACACACAUGCACCCUUCCUUUUCCAACAAUCGUGAGAGGCAGCACCCCGUCUCUGUGUGCAGACUGAGCCUGACCUGGUCAAGUCUUGACCCAUACAUGCAGCAUAGCUGCCAAGCUGAGAAGCCAGGGCUGUGCCUGCAGAGGUAUCAUCGCCCCAGCUACUCAGGAGGCUAAGGCAGGAGGAUCCCAAACUCAGGGUCAACCUGAGGUACAGAAUGAGACAAAGGCUAGUCUUGGAAAUUUGGUGAGACCAUGUCUGAAAAUGAAAUACAAGCCAGGUCUGCAGUAGAGGCACAAAACACUAAUCCCAGCACUUGACAAGCAGAGGCAGGCGGAUCUCGUUUGAGGCCAGCCUGGUCUACAGAGCCAGUUCCAGGACAG
This is a long non-coding RNA of Alexandromys fortis (reed vole), 4473 nucleotides long. RefSeq lists it as uncharacterized. The record is from RefSeq and is a predicted model, not a curated record. The transcript is spliced from 11 exons. NCBI's taxonomy places the organism in Eukaryota, Metazoa, Chordata, Mammalia, Rodentia, Cricetidae.